GACGAACGCUGGCGGCGCGCCUAACACAUGCAAGUCGAACGAGGUCUUUUAGAAAGCUUGCUUUCUGGCUGACCUAGUGGCGGACGGGUGAGUAAUGUAUAGGAAUCUACCUAGUAGUAUGGAAUAAUUGUUGGAAACGGCAACUAAUACCGUAUACGCCCUACGGGGGAAAAAUUUAUUGCUAUUAGAUGAGCCUAUAUUAGAUUAGCUAGUUGGUGGAGUAACAGCCUACCAAGGCAAUGAUCUAUAGCUGAUCUGAGAGGAUGAUCAGCCACACUGGAACUGAGAUACGGUCCAGACUCCUACGGGAGGCAGCAGUGGGGAAUAUUGGACAAUGGGCGAAAGCCUGAUCCAGCCAUGCCGCAUGAGUGAAGAAGGCCUUUGGGUUGUAAAGCUCUUUUAGUGAGGAAGAUAAUGACGGUACUCACAGAAGAAGUCCUGGCUAACUCCGUGCCAGCAGCCGCGGUAAUAC
Molecule: ribosomal RNA, 472 nt
Filed under: uncultured bacterium
Lineage: Bacteria
Description: bacterial SSU rRNA
Rfam family: Bacterial small subunit ribosomal RNA
Source: RNAcentral